AGAAUCAACGCUGGCGGCGUGCCUAACACACGCAAGUCGCACGAGAAAGGGUAGCAAUACCUGAGUAAAGUGGCGCACGGGUGAGUAACACGUGAAUAAUCUACCUCCGAGUGGGGAAUAACUGAGAGAAAUCUUAGCUAAUACCGCAUAACACUUACGAGUCAAAGCAGCAAUGCGCUUGGAGAGGAGUUCGCGGCCGAUUAGUUAGUUGGCGGGGUAAUGGCCCACCAAGACGAUGAUCGGUA
RNAcentral lists this ribosomal RNA (245 nucleotides) under uncultured bacterium. RNAcentral describes it as "partial small subunit ribosomal RNA". It matches the Rfam family "Bacterial small subunit ribosomal RNA", at positions 26 to 285 of the family's 1533-position model. The record is from RNAcentral.